Molecule: long non-coding RNA, 294 nt
Organism: Dermochelys coriacea (leatherback sea turtle)
Lineage: Eukaryota; Metazoa; Chordata; Testudines; Dermochelyidae
Exons: 3
Source: RefSeq, a predicted model, not a curated record
AAAUGAACAGAGGAGCAGGCACAUUGUGGCAGAGCUCCAGAGAGCUGUGGUGGAAAUGAAGGACCAGCCCUCUGCCACCUGGAAGACAAAUGACGGCAGACACAGGAACACUAGAAUGCCCAUCACCAGGAAGAAGAGAAGGGUCAGAAACUUGAUCUUCUUCUGAAAAAUAAACCAACACAAAUUGCGGUCCACUUGGACACAUGAGGAAAUCCUACACAACGUAUGACAUUUACAAGUAGAAAUUGGGCGAAAGGAAACUGGACAACCGUGGUACCCACGCUGGAGAGAGCG